Molecule: non-coding RNA, 145 nt
Organism: Gossypium hirsutum (cotton)
Lineage: Eukaryota; Viridiplantae; Streptophyta; Magnoliopsida; Malvales; Malvaceae
Source: Rfam
UGUUAAAAUUUUCAUCUAUUUAUGCUGUUAAAAAUUAACAUAGUUGAUAGAAUAAUCAUAAAGUAACACAUGGCAUGCCAUGUGUACCUCACGCUAACAUACAUGGACUAAUCUUUAACAGUAGAUAUGGAUGAAAGUUUUAACA